UACGAAGGGGGCUAGCGUUGCUCGGAAUUACUGGGCGUAAAGGGAGCGUAGGCGGGUUAUCAAGUUGGAGGUGAAAGCCCAGGGCUCAACCUUGGAAUUGCCUUCAAAACUGAUAGCCUAGAGUAUGAUAGAGGUAAGUGGAACUCCGAGUGUAGAGGUGAAAUUCGUAGAUAUUCGGAAGAACACCAGUGGCGAAGGCGACUUACUGGAUCAUGACUGACGCUGAGGCUCGAAAGCGUGGGGAG
Molecule: ribosomal RNA, 245 nt
Filed under: uncultured Asticcacaulis sp.
Lineage: Bacteria; Pseudomonadati; Pseudomonadota; Alphaproteobacteria; Caulobacterales; Caulobacteraceae
Description: partial 16S ribosomal RNA
Rfam family: Bacterial small subunit ribosomal RNA
Source: RNAcentral